Molecule: ribosomal RNA, 395 nt
Filed under: uncultured bacterium
Lineage: Bacteria
Description: partial 16S ribosomal RNA
Rfam family: Bacterial small subunit ribosomal RNA
Source: RNAcentral
AUACGUAGGGUGCAAGCGUUAAUCGGAAUUACUGGGCGUAAAGCGUGCGCAGGCGGUUUUGUAAGACAGAGGUGAAAUCCCCGGGCUCAACCUGGGAACUGCCUUUGUGACUGCAAGGCUAGAGUACGGCAGAGGGGGAUGGAAUUCCGCGUGUAGCAGUGAAAUGCGUAGAUAUGCGGUGGCACACCGGUGGCGAAGGCAAUCCCCUGGGCCUGUACUGACGCUCAUGCACGAAAGCGUGGGGAGCAAACAGGAUUAGAUACCCUGGUAGUCCACGCCCUAAACGAUGUCAACUGGUUGUUGGGUCUUCAUUGACUCAGUAACGAAGCUAACGCGUGAAGUUGACCGCCUGGGGAGUACGGCCGCAAGGUUGAAGCUCAAAUGAAUUGACGGGG